This is a non-coding RNA of Pelobates cultripes (western spadefoot toad), 213 nucleotides long. The record is from the annotation of a GenBank genome assembly. NCBI's taxonomy places the organism in Eukaryota, Metazoa, Chordata, Amphibia, Anura, Pelobatidae.
UGGCCAUAUGGUGGAACUGAAUCCCCAGAUUAGUUUGCUGAGAUAGGUGAUAUUAAGUAGCCUUAUGUCAUGAACCCAACUAGCGCUGGUGGGACCCCCAUUUACCACUAUGCGCCCCUGCACAGUACUCUCCUUGCCACUAUAGAACCUGCUCUCCAGGGAAGAGACCAGAAAGUACCUACUUCUUACCUACCUGAAUAGCAUUAAUUGUUU